This 253-nucleotide ribosomal RNA is filed under the name uncultured bacterium. RNAcentral describes it as "partial 16S ribosomal RNA". It matches the Rfam family "Bacterial small subunit ribosomal RNA", at positions 524 to 776 of the family's 1533-position model. The record is from RNAcentral.
UACGUAGGGGGCAAGCGUUGUCCGGAAUCAUUGGGCGUAAAGCGCGUGUAGGCGGCCAGAAAAGUCCGCUGUGAAAACUCGAGGCUCAACUUCGAGCUGUCGGUGGAAACUUUCUGGCUAGAGUCCGGAAGAGGAGAAUGGAAUUCCUGGUGUAGCGGUGAAAUGCGCAGAUAUCAGGAAGAACACCCGUGGCGAAGGCGGUUCUCUGGGACGGUACUGACGCUGAGACACGAAAGCGUGGGGAGCGAACAGG